GACGAACGCUGGCGGCGUGCUUAACACAUGCAAGUCGAGCGAUGAAGCACCUUCGGGUGUGAAUUAGCGGCGAACGGGUGAGGAACACGUGAAGAAUCUGCCUUCAACUCUGGGAUAACUCCGGGAAACCGGGGCUAAUACCGGAUAUGAGCCUUGAUCGCAUGAUCGGGGCUGGAAAGAUUUUCGGUUGAAGAUGACUUCGCGGCCUAUCAGCUUGUUGGUGAGGUAAUGGCUCACCAAGGCGACGACGGGUAGCCGGCCUGAGAGGGCGACCGGCCACACUGGGACUGAGACACGGCCCAGACUCCUACGGGAGGCAGCAGUGGGGAAUAUUGGGCAAUGGAGGAAACUCUGACCCAGCGACGCCGCGCGAGGGAUGAAGGCCUUCGGGUUGUAAACCUCUUUCAGUAGGGAAGAAGCGAAAGUGACGGUACCUACAGAAGAAGCACCGGCUAACUAUGUGCCAGCCGCCGCUGUAA
RNAcentral lists this ribosomal RNA (479 nucleotides) under uncultured bacterium. RNAcentral describes it as "partial 16S ribosomal RNA". It matches the Rfam family "Bacterial small subunit ribosomal RNA", at positions 28 to 523 of the family's 1533-position model. The record is from RNAcentral.